This 658-nucleotide ribosomal RNA is filed under the name Photobacterium angustum. RNAcentral describes it as "bacterial SSU rRNA". It matches the Rfam family "Bacterial small subunit ribosomal RNA", at positions 467 to 1124 of the family's 1533-position model. Lineage: Bacteria; Pseudomonadati; Pseudomonadota; Gammaproteobacteria; Vibrionales; Vibrionaceae. The record is from RNAcentral.
GUUUGACGUUAGCAACAGAAGAAGCACCGGCUAACUCCGUGCCAGCAGCCGCGGUAAUACGGAGGGUGCGAGCGUUAAUCGGAAUUACUGGGCGUAAAGCGCAUGCAGGUGGUCUGUUAAGCAAGAUGUGAAAGCCCGGGGCUCAACCUCGGAACAGCAUUUUGAACUGGCAGACUAGAGUACUGUAGAGGGGGGUAGAAUUUCAGGUGUAGCGGUGAAAUGCGUAGAGAUCUGAAGGAAUACCGGUGGCGAAGGCGGCCCCCUGGACAGAUACUGACACUCAGAUGCGAAAGCGUGGGGAGCAAACAGGAUUAGAUACCCUGGUAGUCCACGCCGUAAACGAUGUCUACUUGGAGGUUGUGGCCUUGAGCCGUGGCUUUCGGAGCUAACGCGUUAAGUAGACCGCCUGGGGAGUACGGUCGCAAGAUUAAAACUCAAAUGAAUUGACGGGGGCCCGCACAAGCGGUGGAGCAUGUGGUUUAAUUCGAUGCAACGCGAAGAACCUUACCUACUCUUGACAUCCAGAGAACUUUCCAGAGAUGGAUUGGUGCCUUCGGGAACUCUGAGACAGGUGCUGCAUGGCUGUCGUCAGCUCGUGUUGUGAAAUGUUGGGUUAAGUCCCGCAACGAGCGCAACCCUUAUCCUUGUUUGCCAGCAC